CCUACGGGAGUCAGCAGUAGGGAAUAUUGCUCAAUGGGGGAAACCCUGAAGCAGCAACGCCGCGUGGAGGAUGAAGGUUUUCGGAUUGUAAAAUCCUUUUGUUAGAGAAGAUAAUGACGGUAUCUAACGAAUAAGCACCGGCUAACUCCGUGCCAGCAGCCGCGGUAAUACGGAGGGUGCAAGCGUUACUCGGAAUCACUGGGCGUAAAGGGCGCGUAGGCGGGAUAGCAAGUCAGAUGUGAAAUCCUAUGGCUUAACCAUAGAACUGCAUUUGAAACUGUUAUUCUAGAGUAUGGGAGAGGUAGGUGGAAUUCGUGGUGUAGGGGUAAAAUCCGUAGAGAUCAAGAGGAAUACUCAUUGCGAAGGCGACCUGCUAGAACAUAACUGACGCUGAUGCGCGAAAGCGUGGGGAGCAAACAGGAUUAGAUACCCGGGUAGUC
This 440-nucleotide ribosomal RNA is filed under the name uncultured bacterium. RNAcentral describes it as "partial 16S ribosomal RNA". It matches the Rfam family "Bacterial small subunit ribosomal RNA", at positions 338 to 795 of the family's 1533-position model. The record is from RNAcentral.